GCGACUUCUGCUUCUUCCUGUCCCAUGAAGCGUCGUCCAAGCUGCCCCCAAUUCCCCACUCUCUUCUGACCUCCGCCUCACGAACGAGUCCAAUGUUAUGCAUGCUCAUUGAUCCUUCUUGUUAAUGGAAUUGUGGCACGGGUGUGGCUGGGAGAAAAUGUUGAGCACGAAGGGAAGCAGCUGGAUCACCACAAACGCCGAGGAGAAGCCCACAAAUGAAUCUCGGUUUCCAUUUUGAAGUUAUAGUUGUUGUACUGAAAGAAAAGGAACUCUCUUCUCUGCGAAAACACAAUGGAAAUACAGUUGCGAGGAGAGGGCUCGGCUGCUCCGACGCCUCAAGGUGCACGAGAGAUCCAACGCCCUUGGUGCUGGCAAGGCG
Triticum dicoccoides is the source of this 379-nucleotide long non-coding RNA. RefSeq lists it as uncharacterized. NCBI's taxonomy places the organism in Eukaryota, Viridiplantae, Streptophyta, Magnoliopsida, Poales, Poaceae. The transcript is spliced from 4 exons. The record is from RefSeq and is a predicted model, not a curated record.